Molecule: ribosomal RNA, 651 nt
Filed under: uncultured marine bacterium
Lineage: Bacteria
Description: bacterial SSU rRNA
Rfam family: Bacterial small subunit ribosomal RNA
Source: RNAcentral
AGAGUUUGAUCCUGGCUCAGGAUGAACGCUGGCGGCGUGCCUAAUACAUGCAAGUCGAGCGAACUGAUUAGAAGCUUGCUUCUAUGACGUUAGCGGCGGACGGGUGAGUAACACGUGGGCAACCUGCCUGUAAGACUGGGAUAACUUCGGGAAACCGAAGCUAAUACCGGAUAGGAUCUUCUCCUUCAUGGGAGAUGAUUGAAAGAUGGUUUCGGCUAUCACUUACAGAUGGGCCCGCGGUGCAUUAGCUAGUUGGUGAGGUAACGGCUCACCAAGGCAACGAUGCAUAGCCGACCUGAGAGGGUGAUCGGCCACACUGGGACUGAGACACGGCCCAGACUCCUACGGGAGGCAGCAGUAGGGAAUCUUCCGCAAUGGUCGAAAGUCUGACGGAGCAACGCCGCGUGAGUGAUGAAGGCUUUCGGGUCGUAAAACUCUGUUGUUAGGGAAGAACAAGUACGAGAGUAACUGCUCGUACCUUGACGGUACCUAACCAGAAAGCCACGGCUAACUACGUGCCAGCAGUCGCGGUAAUACGUAGGUGGCAAGCGUUAUCCGGAAUUAUUGGGCGUAAAGCGCGCGCAGGCGGUUUCUUAAGUCUGAUGUGAAAGCCCACGGCUCAACCCGUGGGAGGGUCAUUGGGAAACUGGG